Corythoichthys intestinalis (scribbled pipefish) is the source of this 296-nucleotide long non-coding RNA. RefSeq lists it as uncharacterized. The record is from RefSeq and is a predicted model, not a curated record. The transcript has 5 exons. Lineage: Eukaryota; Metazoa; Chordata; Actinopteri; Syngnathiformes; Syngnathidae.
CGACAUACAGCCGCACGACUGGCGUAGGCCAUUAUCGCGAUCAAGUGAGGAGGACAGUGGCUAUUAUUCACAAUCUAAUGGCCUAUCCACUCCACCAAGAGCAGCAACAGCAUACUUAGCAGAUGCCUCUACACAAACUGACAUAUUCAUUAAAUCAGAAGCUGUCGAUGAGCCAGCCAUCUUAGUUGGUGAGAAUUUUAUAUUUACCCCCUCGGUGAUUCGAUACGCACCACCAGCGCAGGUGUUAGUUGCGGAUGCAACUGCGCAGAUUGAUGAGUUAUUCAUUCAACCAAACG